GUACACGAGCGGCGAACGGGUGAGUAACACGUGGGUGAUCUACCCUGUACUUCGGGAUAAGCCUGGGAAACUGGGUCUAAUACCGGAUAUGACCUUCCGAUGCAUGUCGGUGGGUGGAAAGAUUUAUCGGUACAGGAUGGGCCCGCGGCCUAUCAGCUUGUUGGUGGGGUAAUGGCCUACCAAGGCGACGACGGGUAGCCGGCCUGAGAGGGCGACCGGCCACACUGGGACUGAGACACGGCCCAGACUCCUACGGGAGGCAGCAGUGGGGAAUAUUGCACAAUGGGCGAAAGCCUGAUGCAGCGACGCCGCGUGAGGGAUGACGGCCUUCGGGUUGUAAACCUCUUUCGACAGGGACGAAGCGCAAGUGACGGUACCUGUAGAAGAAGCACCGGCCAACUACGUGCCAGCAGCCGCGGUAAUACGUAGGGUGCGAGCGUUGUCCGGAAUUACUGGGCGUAAAGAGCUUGUAGGCGGUUUGUCGCGUCGUCCGUGAAAACUUGGGGCUCAACCCCAAGCUUGCGGGCGAUACGGGCAGACUUGAGUACUGCAGGGGAGACUGGAAUUCCUGGUGUAGCGGUG
This 582-nucleotide ribosomal RNA is filed under the name Nocardia sp. FXJ7.389. Its description in RNAcentral is "bacterial SSU rRNA". It matches the Rfam family "Bacterial small subunit ribosomal RNA", at positions 87 to 683 of the family's 1533-position model. The record is from RNAcentral. Lineage: Bacteria; Bacillati; Actinomycetota; Actinomycetes; Mycobacteriales; Nocardiaceae.